RNAcentral lists this transfer RNA (76 nucleotides) under Nitrospirota bacterium. RNAcentral's name for it is "Nitrospirae bacterium (marine sediment metagenome) tRNA-His". It matches the Rfam family "tRNA". Rfam says of the family: Transfer RNA (tRNA) molecules are approximately 80 nucleotides in length. Their secondary structure includes four short double-helical elements and three loops (D, anti-codon, and T loops). Further hydrogen bonds mediate the characteristic L-shaped molecular structure. tRNAs have two regions of fundamental functional importance: the anti-codon, which is responsible for specific mRNA codon recognition, and the 3' end, to which the tRNAs corresponding amino acid is attached (by aminoacyl-tRNA synthetases). tRNAs cope with the degeneracy of the genetic code in two manners: having more than one tRNA (with a specific anti-codon) for a particular amino acid; and 'wobble' base-pairing, i.e. permitting non-standard base-pairing at the 3rd anti-codon position. Lineage: Bacteria; Pseudomonadati; Nitrospirota. The record is from RNAcentral.
GUGAGCGUAGCUCAACCGGUAGAGCUCUGGAUUGUGGUUCCAGUGGUUGGGGGUUCAAGUCCCCUCGCUCACCCCA